GCGGGGGUGCCCGAGCUGGUCAAAGGGGGCGGACUUAAGAUCCGCUGGCGAAGGCCUGCGUGGGUUCAAGUCCCACCCCCCGCA
RNAcentral lists this transfer RNA (84 nucleotides) under Sulfurisphaera ohwakuensis. RNAcentral's name for it is "tRNA-Leu". It matches the Rfam family "tRNA". From Rfam's summary of the family: Transfer RNA (tRNA) molecules are approximately 80 nucleotides in length. Their secondary structure includes four short double-helical elements and three loops (D, anti-codon, and T loops). Lineage: Archaea; Thermoproteati; Thermoproteota; Thermoprotei; Sulfolobales; Sulfolobaceae. RNAcentral also lists the same sequence under 2 other names. The record is from RNAcentral.